AAACUUAGGAUAUGUUUAAACCCGAGGCCUUCAAAGCCCCAAAAAAGAG
RNAcentral lists this transfer RNA (49 nucleotides) under Chamaeleo chamaeleon (common chameleon). RNAcentral describes it as "partial tRNA-Trp". Lineage: Eukaryota; Metazoa; Chordata; Lepidosauria; Squamata; Chamaeleonidae. RNAcentral also lists the same sequence under 2 other names. The record is from RNAcentral.